Molecule: transfer RNA, 69 nt
Filed under: Danionella translucida
Lineage: Eukaryota; Metazoa; Chordata; Actinopteri; Cypriniformes; Danionidae
Also listed under: 1 other name
Rfam family: tRNA
About the family: Transfer RNA (tRNA) molecules are approximately 80 nucleotides in length. Their secondary structure includes four short double-helical elements and three loops (D, anti-codon, and T loops).
Source: Rfam by way of RNAcentral
GCCUGGCUAGCUCAGUCGGUAGAGCAUGAGACUCUCUCAGGGUCGUGGGUUCGAGCCCCACGUUGGGCG